GAUGAAGAACGUAGCGAAAUGCGAUAAGUAGUGUGAAUUGCAGAAUUCAGUGAAUCAUCGAAUCUUUGAACGCACAUUGCUGCCAUAGGUAUUCCUUUGGCCAUGCCUGUUCGAGCGUCAUUUACACCCUCAAGCCUAGCUUGGUGUUGGGCGUCUGUCCCGCCGUUCUCGCGCGCGGACUCGCCUCAAAGUCAUUGGCGGCGGUCGUGCCGGCCCCCUCGCGCAGCACAUUUGCGCUUCUCGGAGGCCCGGCGGAUCCGCGCUCCAGCAAGACCUUUCACGACUUGACCUCGGAUCAGGUAGGGAUACCCGCUGAACUUAAGCAUAUCAAUAAGCGGAGGA
This 342-nucleotide unclassified non-coding RNA is filed under the name soil metagenome. RNAcentral's name for it is "partial contains 5.8S ribosomal RNA, internal transcribed spacer 2, and large subunit ribosomal RNA". The stretch from base 1 to 120 matches the Rfam family "5.8S ribosomal RNA", at positions 35 to 154 of the family's 154-position model. The record is from RNAcentral.